AGAGUUUGAUCAGGGCUCAGAUUGAACGCUGGCGGUAUGCUUAACACAUGCAAGUCGAACGCGAACGGUACUUCGGUACUUAUUAGAGUGGCGGACGGGGGAGUAACGCGUAGGAAUUUGCCCAGUAGUGGGGGACAACAUGUGGAAACGCAUGCUAAUACCGCAUACGCCCUAUGGGGGAAAGCAGGGGAUCUUCGGACCUCGCGCUCUAAGAUGAGCCUGCGUCGGAUUAGCUAGUUGGUGAGGUAAUGGCUCACCAAGGCGACGAUCCGUAGCUGGUCUGAGAGGACGACCAGCCACACUGGGACUGAGACACGGCCCAGACUCCUACGGGAGGCAGCAGUGGGGAAUAUUGGACAAUGGGGGAAACCCUGAUCCAGCAAUGCCGCGUGUGUGAAGAAGGCCUGCGGGUUGUAAAGCACUUUCAAUUGUGAAGAAAAGCCUGAGGUUAAUAGCCUCGAGUCUUGACGUUAACUUUAGAAGAAGCACCGGCUAACUCUGUGCCAGCAGCCGCGGUAAUACAGAGGGUGCGAGCGUUAAUCGGAAUUACUGGGCGUAAAGCGCGCGUAGGCGGUUAGAUAAGUCAGAUGUGAAAGCCCCGGGCUCAACCUGGGAACUGCAUUUGAAACUGUUUAACUAGAGUGUGGUAGAGGAGAGUGGAAUUUCAGGUGUAGCGGUGAAAUGCGUAGAUAUCUGAAGGAACACCAGUGGCGAAGGCGGCUCUCUGGACCAACACUGACGCUGAGGUGCGAAAGCGUGGGUAAAAAACGGGAUUAGAUAACCCGGUAGUCCAUACCCCGGUAGUCCACGGUAAAAGAUGUCAACUAACUGUUGGGCGGGUUUCCGCUUAGUGGUGCAGCUAACGCAAUAAGUUGACCGCCUGGGGAGUACGGCCGCAGGGCUAAAACUCAAAUGAAUUAAUUGACGGGGGCCCGCACAAGCGGUGGAGCAUGUGGUUUAAUUCGAUGCAACGCGAAGAACCUUACCUACCCUUGACAUACAGAGAAUUUACUAGAGAUAGGUUAGUGCCUUCGGUAACUCGGUUACAGGUGCUGCAUGGCUGUCGUCAGCUCGUGUCGGGAGAUGUUGGGUUAAGUCCCGUAACGAGCGCAACCCUUGUCCUUAGUUGCCAGCACGUAAUGGUGGGAACUCUAAGGAGACUGCCGGUGACAAACCGGAGGAAGGUGGGGACGACGUCAAGUCAUCAUGGCCCUUACGACCUGGGCUACACACGUGCUACAAUGGUCGGUACAGAGGGUUGCCAAGCCGCGAGGUGGAGCUAAUCCCAGAAAACCGAUCGUAGUCCGGAUUGGAGUCUGCAACUCGACUCCAUGAAGUCGGAAUCGCUAGUAAUCGCGAAUCAGAAUGUCGCGGUGAAUACGUUCCCGGGCGGUGUGUCCCCCGCCCGUCACACCAUGGGAGUGGGUUGCAAAAGAAGUGGGUAGACUAACCUUCGGGAGGUCGCUCACCGCUUUGUGAUUCAUGACUGGGGUGAAGUCGAAACAAGGUAGCC
This 1513-nucleotide ribosomal RNA is filed under the name uncultured prokaryote. RNAcentral describes it as "partial 16S ribosomal RNA". It matches the Rfam family "Bacterial small subunit ribosomal RNA". The record is from RNAcentral.